This is a non-coding RNA of Punica granatum (pomegranate), 551 nucleotides long. The record is from RefSeq and is a predicted model, not a curated record. Lineage: Eukaryota; Viridiplantae; Streptophyta; Magnoliopsida; Myrtales; Lythraceae.
AUAAACAUACGAUUUUACAAUUCGAUUGUACAUUCUGAUUUUAUGGACCCUCCACCAUUUUUACUUCAACAUUCGAUUUUGAGAGCCUUGGAUGAGAUGAAAGUGUUGUCUUGAGAAGCCAAAAGAGAGAAUUGCAGAAACCGGUGGUCGCACUCUGUAUUCGAGCCUCACCUGAUCUCUACCCGGAGUUUGCCAAGCAACAGAAGGAUGGGUUGGAAGACUGAUGUAACCGAUCGAGAGCAAAAUCUGCAAUCAAAUCUGGUAGCUGGACGCGAGAGAGUGGAAUGCAUGCUUGUAUGAUGUAUGUAUUUAUUUUCUUUGCGCUAGCCUAGGAUUAUGUGAUUGUGUUGCUCGGCCAAAGUGUUGGGUGGUUUUAGGGUUGGUUACUCGACUAAUUGGUGAGGGUGAUUAAUUUGAACAGGCCGAAUUGAUUAAAUUGAUUAUGGGUGAAAUUGUUCUUAUGGUUGUACGAGGAUACUGAACUUAAGGAAUUAUGCUUAUCCUAUUGUCAGACAUGUUAUCGGAAACGCUUGCAAAACUUGGUUUUGGUU